This 273-nucleotide ribosomal RNA is filed under the name uncultured bacterium. RNAcentral describes it as "partial 16S ribosomal RNA". It matches the Rfam family "Bacterial small subunit ribosomal RNA", at positions 15 to 280 of the family's 1533-position model. The record is from RNAcentral.
AAUCCUGGCUCAGGAUGAACGCUAGCUACAGGCUUAACACAUGCAAGUCGAGGGGCAUCAGGGUGUAGCAAUACACCGCUGGCGACCGGCGCACGGGUGAGUAACACGUAUCCAACCUGCCCUUUACUCGGGGAUAGCCUUUCGAAAGAAAGAUUAAUACCCGAUGGUAUAACAUGACCUCCUGGUUUUGUUAUUAAAGAAUUUCGGUAGAGGAUGGGGAGUGCGUUCCAUUAGGCAGUUGGCGGGGUAACGGGCCCGACCCAAACCCUUACG